This 68-nucleotide transfer RNA is filed under the name Marmota monax (woodchuck). Its description in RNAcentral is "tRNA.Ala". The record is from RNAcentral. Lineage: Eukaryota; Metazoa; Chordata; Mammalia; Rodentia; Sciuridae.
GUGGUGGCUCAGUGGUAGAGCACUUGCCUAGCAUAUGUGAGGCACUGGGUUUGAUCCUCAGUCCCACA